This 467-nucleotide ribosomal RNA is filed under the name uncultured bacterium. Its description in RNAcentral is "partial 16S ribosomal RNA". It matches the Rfam family "Bacterial small subunit ribosomal RNA", at positions 29 to 507 of the family's 1533-position model. The record is from RNAcentral.
ACGAACGCUGGCGGCGUGCUUAACACAUGCAAGUCGAACGGAAAGGCCCUGCUUUUGUGGGGUGCUCGAGUGGCGAACGGGUGAGUAACACGUGAGUAACCUGCCCUUGACUUUGGGAUAACUUCAGGAAACUGGGGCUAAUACCGGAUAGGAGCUCCUGCUGCAUGGUGGGGGUUGGAAAGUUUCGGCGGUUGGGGAUGGACUCGCGGCUUAUCAGCUUGUUGGUGGGGUAGUGGCUUACCAAGGCUUUGACGGGUAGCCGGCCUGAGAGGGUGACCGGCCACAUUGGGACUGAGGUACGGCCCAGACGCCUACGGGAGGCAGCAGUGGGGAAUAUUGCACAAUGGGCGGAAGCCUGAUGCAGCAACGCCGCGUGCGGGAUGACGGCCUUCGGGUUGUAAACCGCUUUCGCCUGUGACGAAGCGUGAGUGACGGUAAUGGGUAAAGAAGCACCGGCUAACUACGUG